GUAAACACACGCACGCACGCACAGCGGUCACUCUGUGGGACUGCUGCUUUUCAUUAGCACUGAGAUGGGAUGCAGUCUAUCUAGGCAGAAUUAGCCGGACGGGAGAGCGUGAUGGGAAAGGGAGGAGGGGGAAUGAUUCAUUUCAUUUUAAAAUAGUACUGGUUGGCUGUUUAAAAUAACAGUACUGGUUAACUGUUUUGGCCUCCAGUCUCUCUUUGCAUGCCAUUUCUUUGCACUUUUGUCAGUGUGCUGCCAGUUUGCCUGUAGCAGCUAACAGCUGUUGAACUUGGUUAAACCAUGACAGAUUCCUACCAGAUUGGAAGCAAGGUCAAAUCAAAGUUGAAAAAGGUUAGCGGCCAUGAAACGAUAAUUAUUUCAAGUGUGUGUGUGUGUGUGUGUGUGUUUGUGUCAGUGUGUAUUUGUGUGCGUUCCUGCGUUGUAGAGGCAUAUUUGCAUUGUGUGUAUAAACGUGUGUGCUGAGUCUCAAGCUCGGUGCAUGCGUGUGUGUGUGUGUGUUCUGCAUUCCGACAUCCUCUUCUUCAGUCCCAUUGUUUACAGUGAGCCACUGCUACUCCUCUGCCUCCCCCUGUCUCUUCACACUCCCUCUCUCCUUCCCUCAGGCAACAGGCUAUUAUAAAUCAUGGUGAUAUUCAGGAAAAGAGAGAGAGAGAAAGGAGAAUCACCUUGAGAGCAUUCACAUGCGUUGCCUGCACACGCACACAGACACACUUGAACCCCCUAUUCUCACACACUGUGAUCCAAGCUUCUGAGAGCUUUCAGAAAUGUCUAAAAAUAACAUUUUUCCCACAUGCACUGUGCCAUAUAAAAUAUUUAUAGUGAUUCCCAGUCCUUUAGCUCUGGCAUUGAUGCUGCAAGACUGAGAGAGCAACUGUGUUCAUGCGUGUGUGUGUGUGUGUGUGUGUUGUGUGCACGCACUUGUGUGUCAGAAAGCGAGGAAGAGUUCUUACAUAGCACACUGCGGUCAGAGAGCAUCUUACAACAGAGAGCCAAAGGCCCUCUCUCUCCAACUGAUCUCUGUAUUUUAUCUUUCUCUCCAUCUAGUCUCUCUUUUGGUCUAGUCUCGCUUAUCCUCUUGCUUUAAAAAAAAAUUCCGGCAUGUAUUUCUAAAUCUCUGUUCAUUCAUUUAGCUCACGUCUCAUCCUUCUACUCCUGCAGCAAUCUCCCAUCACCUUCUCUAUCUAGGACUGCAAUUCCUGUCCUACACAGCUCUAGGCACAGCUCUCUGUCACUAUAACAGCUCUAGAUACAGCUCUCUGUUAAAAUAACAGCUCUAGGCACAGCUCUCUGUCACUAUAACAGCUCUAGGCACAGCUCUCUGUCACUAUAACAGCUCUAGGCACAGCUCUCUGUCACUAUAACAGCUCUAGAUACAGCUCUCUGUUACAAUAACAGCUCUAGGCACAGCUCUCUGUUAGAAUAACAGCUCUAGGCACAGCUCUCUGUCACCAUAACAGCUCUAGAUACAGCUCUCUGUUAGAAUAACAGCUCUAGGCACAGCUCUCUGUCACUAUAACAGCUCUAGGCACAGCUCUCUGUCACUAUAACAGCUCUAGAUACAGCUCUCUGUUAGAAUAACAGCUCUAGAUACGGCUCUCUGUCAGUAUAAACACCUAUAACUUACUGGUAACAGGUUCCUUCCUGUCCUGUCCUUCAUUUGCACUGAUCUGGGUAUUUCCUGGAUAGUUUAAAGCAAUAUGUCAUCAAAGUACGCAAAGUAAUCACCGCUAGUUAAAGACCGGAUGAAAUGAAGAGGUGACAAGGAUACAGAUGGUUGUCUUUAUUUCUGAUGGAAAUCAUAUUCAGUUUGUGUUUGACUUAUGAGUGCUGAGUGACAAGCGAGUCAAGCAGUACGUGUAAAGCUGUGUUGAUGGUAGCAAGUCAAAACAAUAAUUCACCGUGGGAGGCUUUCUGCACAGUGCUUCAUAUAUUAUUGAUAACUCCUACAUUAAUGAACACGCGCACACACAUAGCCUACAUGGUAUAUCUGCUUUGAGUGGGCGACUACAUGAGUUAUAGAACCACAUGAGUUAUAGAACUACAUGAGUUAUAGAACUAUGUCCACAGAACUGCACCGGUUGAUUUAUAAUGUAGAAUAUAGACAAUGGUGGAUGUUCUUUAUUCCGGAAUGUCAUGGGCUCCAUUAUCGCAGAAGACACGUCAAGGGCACUUAGUGCCGGGCAAUCAAUAUGUAACCCAAAUUUCACCAAUGUCCACCUUGGUUACUAUGACCGAGAACUAUGGUUGCCAUGGCAGUAUAGGGUUCUAUCUUGUUUUCCUAUUAGUAUGACGACUUGUUUUCUAUGUGUCUCGUAGCAUUUCAGAUAAUAUUUUGGGGGGCUUAAUAUGGAAUCAGAACGAUUGUUAUAACACUACUCUGUUGGUCUCUGUACUUAUACUGUUUUGUGAAAGCAGUUGUUCCCGUGGAUCCAUGUAAUUAAACUUGAAAUAGUCAACUGUUAUACCAGACUCUGAGAAGUUUUUACUUGUAUAAAAUCGCAAAACGUUUUCCACAAUUGGAUUGUUUUUUCCUCCCGUAUUUUUGGCUUCUAAAAAACAUACAAAACUGUGAUUCCGUGAUGUGCAUGUUUCAGUGUUACGCAAUGAAUACACAAUGAAUGUGUAAGCCAUGAAUGUGUUUCCUCAGAUUCCGUCCAUGCAUUGGGACUGUAGUGGAGGAAGCUUUGAUCUGUCGUACUGUGGUGUGUUCCGGUGCCUGGAGACACCUCAGCAGUCCUGGAUCAAACAACCAUCCCUUUCUCCUCUCUAAUGGCCGGGUGGUCUUUUCUUUAUAAUGCACUAAGUCAGUCACUCCAGUGUUGCUAACUCCUCCCACGGAGUGACACACUGAGACAGGGGGACGUGGUAUUGCAUGGUAAUGUUAAGAGGCACAUUCCCUUGAGGUUCCUGUAGGGUUUUCUAUAUCCAUGCCUAUACUCAGACACCUCCCAAAUGAUUAACACCCCUGACGAAAAUGAGCAAAACGGACUAUUUUGAAGGCACACAACAAUCUGAGAAAACGAUAUCACUUCAUUGCAACACCAUAGCUCAC
Long non-coding RNA from Esox lucius (northern pike), 3070 nucleotides. Lineage: Eukaryota; Metazoa; Chordata; Actinopteri; Esociformes; Esocidae. The record is from Ensembl.